UAAAAAAGUAAUAGGAAUGUGAUGUGCAAAAUAUACUAAGGCCUCAACUUAUUUCUUACAACAUAAAUAAAAUAAAUAAUUGCUGAAUUCCAUGAGUGUAUAAAAAGCUGAGCUAUAGAUAAUGUCUCUUUCUGUAUAAAAGAAGAAUCAGGGGUUUGUAUCUGAAUUUUUAGGUCUAGCUUUAUAAAUAAAGCACUGUAGGUCAUGUACUAUAUUAUGGCUUGAUGCUGUAUGGGAGACCUAGGGACUGUGUUGCUCUGUGAAACUGCCAAAGUAUGAAGGCAUGGGGACCCAGGCUAUGAUUCCAGGAAACUGUCAUCAGAAACAUCUGUCAAGCCCACCCGAGAGGUCCAGUCCACCCUCCUUAUAGUUUCUACCUCUGAGCUCUUGCUCAGUUCUUAAGUUUAUGAAUAUUUCUUACUCAGCGCUCAGUAUCUUCUGUGUAAACACUGCUGUGCCUGAGAACUACCAUACUGCAGGCACUGGUUAGUUCUGGCCACUUCAGAUAAACUGGUUUGUUCUGUCUCCUUCUGUAUGUAUAUACAGAUGCAAGCAGACAAAUCCAUUAAUUUCUCAACCUCCUCCCUUUUUUAUCAAAACACAGGGCUGCGGUGUAAAAGACACAUGGGUUACACAAGUCUCAGGUUGUUGGUUCCUUUGUUUUUUCUGGAGGUAGGUGGAGGAGUUAUAGAAACAGAAGGAGGUGGAAUAGUAGAUGCAACAAGAAAGAAGCAUCACUGGUGUCAAAGCAGGACACAGUGGGAUGAAGCAAUUGUAUUUUUCAGAGUAUCUCCUCUAACAUGACAUAACAUCUGGAAAUGAGAGAGAAAUGCCAGGGCAGUAGGUUGUAAAAUAAAUCAAUAAAAACCCUUUGGGGGAGAAUGUUGCGCAUUUGAUAUAUUUUUUAAAGUAGAGGUACCAAGCUUGGUUGCCAGUGAAAUGACUUGGAAAAGGUUCGUCUGAAGGCUGCAACUUUGAAGAUUCUGAAGUGGACAUGUCAGACCAACUGCAUCCAUAGGGGGUCUGAUUUAUGAGCAUCCAUCAAGUACAGUCAUUCCAACUUCAGUGUCAUCUCUGGGUAUCAUCAGUAGUACUGCAGCUAGACCCACAUCAGUCAGUAAAUUACCUCUAUCAAAAAAACCUUCAUUGAGUUGAAACCAGAGCUGAGGUCAUAAUGGGGACUAACAAAUUCCAGCAAGAAUGCAUACCUAUUUGGUUAAUUUUCUCAACAAAAUCUCUGUUUUCAAACUUUGUUAACAAUGUUAAAUAAUUGAAUUGGUUCAAUGAUUUAAGGCCAGGUUAUGCUACAUGGCAGAUGGACAUUGUUGGACGGUUGCUGGAUGCUGUUUGAUGGAAAUUGAACAGCAUAUAAAACCACAACGAAACUCUUUGUCUUGAUGGGUUGAGCAAUGUACACAACAGAAGAUGGGAUUGUUCAUCUUCCAGAAAUUCCUGAUAUACCAGGAAAUACCCUAAGCACAAUACUUUAAAAGAAUUAAAACUAGAACAUAUAAUGGAUUGUGAACAAAAAUGUAAAUGGCAGGAGCUAACUUUUCCUUGUGGACAAGGCUACCAAUGAAGCCAAGUUGAACAUAAUGAAGGAACCUGUAAUUUAUGAGUGCAGUGUUCAGUUGCAUUUUUUUUGUCAGGCUGACAUACUCUGUGCAUAAAGGAUCAUCUUGAAAUUGCAAGAUACCUUACAACAAUUUUUCCUUCAGCUUUGUGAAGGAAGCAAGAGGAGUCAAACUACUCUUAUCUCCAAGAUACACAGUGAAAUUCAGUGGUUACUUGCUUUGAGUCUUUUAAAAAAAACCUGACCUAUUUUGAUGACUACGGAAAAAAUUGUAAUGCAAUAGAUGGAAUUCACAAUGGAAGAAGUCAACAUAAUGAAGCAGAAUGUAGAAAUGCUGACCCUGUUGAAACCUAUGUCCAUAGCCUUGGACAAACUAUGGAAAGAUUUACUGCUGUAUUGCAAUGCUGUUGAUUUGAAAUUUGGAAAGCACUUCAAGAGACAUCAAAGAAAGAAAUAUCCAACAACAAAGUUAAACUGCAAGCAGUAAAGAAUUAGAUUAAGCACUUCACCGUACUUUCUUGCCAAUACCCUCAACUGGUAGCGCCAGGAUUGUUGCAUGACUGCUGGAGAAAAAAGAUACAGCUAUAUGGGGUAUCUAAUUAUCUCCCACCAGUAAUGCCAGCCCUGGCAAACUUCAGGAUUGGGGGUGAAUCGCUUGAGCAGUGUGUGGAUUUUUUUUGUUUGUUUUUUAAGAGGCUUGUUGCACUGAACCCCUGGAAGCCACCAGGUAAGCAGCUGGGACUGGAACUGAAUAUUUCAGCAAACAAGGCUUUGAAAGCAAGUAGCCUCAUCUGCAGGCAAAGUAAAUGUAUUCUUCACUUGGACUCUCAUCUUCAAAAGUGCAAGAUUAAUUGGAAGUUAAAGAAGCAGGAAAAUGUCUGUCUUCCGCAACUCUGGUGGGGGAGAAGGGUGCAAAAUAGGAGGAGGAGGAGAUAAGAUCUGCUAAUUCUUUAAAAGUUUCAAGGGUGGCCGAAGUAACUCAAACAGCUUCAUUUUCAAGACAGUCGAGGGACUAGGAAGCUAGUUUACAGGCACUUUCACUUGGUCAUAGUUGAAACUUAUUUUUCCCCCAGGUUAACUUUUUAAAUGCAUUUAUUUUGCUGAUUGCAGUUAAUACUUGUAAAUGUGAAAUAUCUUUUGAUUAAGGGAAGUUUUAUGUAUCUGAAACAUUUUAAGGAUUAAACAGCUUGUUAAUAAAGAAAUGUGUGCUAUUCAGUGUGUUUUACUUAAAUUUCAGUUACCAUACUAAUGUAGUUGUUUCACACACCAUGAUCAAUAUAUCUGGGAAAGGAGCAAUAGAUCAUUAGCUAUUUUCUAACUUGCUGAGAACACUAAGUCCUGAUUUAUUUUUCAACACCUGGAGGAAAAAUCUGCUAUGUGUGCAGGCUGUGGGG
Molecule: long non-coding RNA, 2967 nt
Organism: Gavialis gangeticus (Gharial)
Lineage: Eukaryota; Metazoa; Chordata; Crocodylia; Gavialidae
Exons: 2
Source: RefSeq, a predicted model, not a curated record